RNAcentral lists this ribosomal RNA (550 nucleotides) under Pseudogymnoascus pannorum. RNAcentral describes it as "eukaryotic LSU rRNA". The stretch from base 181 to 334 matches the Rfam family "5.8S ribosomal RNA". The record is from RNAcentral. Lineage: Eukaryota; Fungi; Ascomycota; Leotiomycetes; Thelebolales; Thelebolaceae.
GGUUCCGUUAGCUCGCCCGAGGUUGCCGCAAGGCCUCCCGGGCAACCUACCACCCUUUGUUUAUUACACUUUGUUGCUUUGGCAGGCCUGCCCUCGGGCUGCUGGCUCCGGCCGGCGAGCGUCUGCCAGAGGACCUAAACUCUGUUUGUCUAUACUGUCUGAGUACUAUAUAAUAGUUAAAACUUUCAACAACGGAUCUCUUGGUUCUGGCAUCGAUGAAGAACGCAGCGAAAUGCGAUAAGUAAUGUGAAUUGCAGAAUUCAGUGAAUCAUCGAAUCUUUGAACGCACAUUGCGCCCCCUGGUAUUCCGGGGGGCAUGCCUGUCCGAGCGUCAUUACAACCCUCAAGCUCAGCUUGGUGUUGGGCCCCGCCGCCCCGGCGGGCCCUAAAGUCAGUGGCGGUGCCGUCCGGCUCCGAGCGUAGUAAUUCUUCUCGCUCUGGAGGCCCGGUCGUGUGCUCGCCAGCAACCCCCAAUUUUUUUCAGGUUGACCUCGGAUCAGGUAGGGAUACCCGCUGAACUUAAGCAUAUCUAAAAGGGGAAAGGAAACCC